GAUGAACGCUGGCGGCGUACCUAAUACAUGCAAGUCGAGCGAAUGGAUUAAGAGCUUGCUCUUAUGAAGUUAGCGGCGGACGGGUGAGUAACACGUGGGUAACCUGCCCAUAAGACUGGGAUAACUCCGGGAAACCGGGGCUAAUACCGGAUAACAUUUUGAACAGCAUGGGUCGAAAUUGAAAGGCGGCUUCGGAUGUCAAUAUGGAUGGACCCGCGUCGCAUUAGCUAGUUGGUGAGGUAACGGCUCACCAAGGCAACGAUGCGUAGCCGACCUGAGAGGGUGAUCGGCCACACUGGGACUGAGACACGGCCCAGACUCCUACGGGAGGCAGCAGUAGGGAAUCUUCCGCAAUGGACGAAAGUCUGACGGAGCAAUGCCGCGUGAGUGAUGAAGGCUUUCGGGUCGUAAAACUCUGUUGUUAGGGAAGAACAAGUGCUGGUUGAAUAAGCUGGCACCUUGACGGUACCUAACCAGAAAGCCACGGCUAACUACGUGCCAGCCGCCGCCGUAA
This 514-nucleotide ribosomal RNA is filed under the name uncultured bacterium. Its description in RNAcentral is "partial 16S ribosomal RNA". It matches the Rfam family "Bacterial small subunit ribosomal RNA", at positions 28 to 523 of the family's 1533-position model. The record is from RNAcentral.